Molecule: ribosomal RNA, 468 nt
Filed under: uncultured bacterium
Lineage: Bacteria
Description: partial 16S ribosomal RNA
Rfam family: Bacterial small subunit ribosomal RNA
Source: RNAcentral
GACGAACGCUGGCGGCGUGCUUAACACAUGCAAGUCGAACGGAAAGGCCCUGCUUUUGUGGGGUGCUCGAGUGGCGAACGGGUGGGUAACACGUGAGUAACCUGCCCUUGACUUUGGGAUAACUUCAGGAAACUGGGGCUAAUACCGGAUAGGAGCUCCUGCUGCAUGGUGGGGGUUGGAAAGUUUCGGCGGUUGGGGAUGGACACGCGGCUUAUCAGCUUGUUGGUGGGGUAGUGGCUUACCAAGGCUUUGACGGGUAGCCGGCCUGAGAGGGUGACCGGCCACAUUGGGACUGAGAUACGGCCCAGACUCCUACGGGAGGCAGCAGUGGGGAAUAUUGCACAAUGGGCGGAAGCCUGAUGCAGCAACGCCGCGUGCGGGAUGACGGCCUUCGGGUUGUAAACCGCUUUCGCCUGUGACGAAGCGUGAGUGACGGUAAUGGGUAAAGAAGCACCGGCUAACUACGUG